GAUGAAGAACGUAGCGAAAUGCGAUAAGUAAUGCGAAUUGCAGAAUUCCAGUGAGUCAUCGAAUCUAUGAACGCACAUUGCGCCCUUUGGUAUUCCGAAGGGCAUGCCUGUUCGAGCGUCAUUAUCACCCCUCAAGCCCUCGGCUUGGUGUUGGACGGUUUGGUGGAGGCCCCCUCGGGGGUUCCUGCCCCUCCCAAAGACAAUGACGGCGGCCUCGUUGGACCCCCGGUACACUGAGUUCUUCACGGGACACGUAUCGGACACAUGGGUUUACGGGACACGGUCUGCCUCCCCUCAGGGAGAAUCUUUCUAAGGUUGACCUCGGAUCAGGUAGGGAUACCCGCUGAACUUAAGCAUAUCAAUAAGCGGAGGA
This 373-nucleotide unclassified non-coding RNA is filed under the name soil metagenome. Its description in RNAcentral is "partial contains 5.8S ribosomal RNA, internal transcribed spacer 2, and large subunit ribosomal RNA". The stretch from base 1 to 121 matches the Rfam family "5.8S ribosomal RNA", at positions 35 to 154 of the family's 154-position model. The record is from RNAcentral.